Molecule: unclassified non-coding RNA, 241 nt
Filed under: Pseudomicrostroma phylloplanum
Lineage: Eukaryota; Fungi; Basidiomycota; Exobasidiomycetes; Microstromatales
Description: ITS 2
Source: RNAcentral
AUCCCUCAAAUCCCAAUGUUUUUUUAAAAAGAAGCGUUGCUUGGAUUUGGUUGUGGGCCCUUGCAGUCUUUCACGAGUCUGCUGGCCUUAAAGAUAUUAGCUGGACCUCUCUAAUCUCUAAGCAGAGUACUUCCAUUUGAUGUAAUAAAAUUGCAUUGGUGGAAGCUCGACUUGGUACCUAGAGGAAGUCUGCUUCUUAACCCGGCGCGAGUGGCAACACUCAACCCACUAUUUCAUAACU